This 482-nucleotide ribosomal RNA is filed under the name uncultured bacterium. RNAcentral's name for it is "partial 16S ribosomal RNA". It matches the Rfam family "Bacterial small subunit ribosomal RNA", at positions 30 to 507 of the family's 1533-position model. The record is from RNAcentral.
AUUGAGCGCUGGCGGCAUGCCUUACACAUGCAAGUCGAACGGUAACAGGUCUUCGGAUGCUGACGAGUGGCGAACGGGUGAGUAAUACAUCGGAACGUGCCCGAUCGUGGGGGAUAACGAAGCGAAAGCUUUGCUAAUACCGCAUAAGAUCUACGGAUGAAAGCAGGGGACCGCAAGGCCUUGCGCGAACGGAGCGGCCGAUGGCAGAUUAGGUAGUUGGUGGGAUAAAAGCUUACCAAGCCGACGAUCUGUAGCUGGUCUGAGAGGACGACCAGCCACACUGGGACUGAGACACGGCCCAGACUCCUACGGGAGGCAGCAGUGGGGAAUUUUGGACAAUGGGCGAAAGCCUGAUCCAGCCAUGCCGCGUGCAGGAUGAAGGCCUUCGGGUUGUAAACUGCUUUUGUACGGAACGAAAAGACUCUGGUUAAUACCUGGGGUCCAUGACGGUACCGUAAGAAUAAGCACCGGCUAACUACGUG